Molecule: ribosomal RNA, 405 nt
Filed under: uncultured cyanobacterium
Lineage: Bacteria; Bacillati; Cyanobacteriota
Description: bacterial SSU rRNA
Rfam family: Bacterial small subunit ribosomal RNA
Source: RNAcentral
GACGAACGCUGGCGGUGUGCUUCACACAUGCAAGUCGAACGAGGUAGCAAUACCUAGUGGCGGACGGGUGAGUAACGCGUGGGAAUCUGCCUUGAGAUGGGGGAUAACGAGCCGAAAGGCUCGCUAAUACCGCAUAUGCCGAAAGGUGAAAGGAGUAAUCCGUCUUAAGAUGAGCCCGCGUCCGAUUAGCUAGUUGGUGGGGUAAAGGCCUACCAAGGCGACGAUCGGUAGCUGGUCUGAGAGGAUGAUCAGCCACAAUGGGACUGAGACACGGCCCAUACUCCUACGGGAGGCAGCAGUGGGGAAUUUUACGCAAUGGGGGAAACCCUGACGUAGCGACACCGCGUGAGCGAAGAAGCCCUUUGGGGUGUAAAGCUCUGUCAGCUGGAACGAAAAAAAUGACGG